RNAcentral lists this ribosomal RNA (399 nucleotides) under Craugastor podiciferus (Cerro Utyum robber frog). RNAcentral's name for it is "partial 16S ribosomal RNA". It matches the Rfam family "Bacterial large subunit ribosomal RNA", at positions 1946 to 2531 of the family's 2925-position model. Lineage: Eukaryota; Metazoa; Chordata; Amphibia; Anura; Craugastoridae. The record is from RNAcentral.
CCGUGCAAAGGUAGCACAAUCACUUGUCUCCUAAAUCGAGACCUGUAUGAAUGGCAUCACGAGGAUUCAACUGUCUCCCCUCACCAAUCAGUGAAACUAAUCUCCCUGUGAAAAAGCAGGACUACUUAUACAAGACGAGAAGACCCUAUGGAGCUUUAAACCACUAACACUUGCUCUACUUCCCAUAACCAUUUAGCAUAGUACUUACACGUUUUCGGUUGGGGCGACCCUGGAGAAAAACCUAACCUCCAUGCUGUUAAAUAUAUGAACCUCAAUUCUACAAUCAACAUAUUGACACAAUUGACCCAAACAUUUGAUCAACGAACCAAGUUACCCUAGGGAUAACAGCGCCAUCCACUUCAAGAGUACAUAUCUACAAGUGGGCUUACGACCUCGAUG